CUUAGUAACGGCGAGUGAAGCGGUAAAAGCUCAAAUUUGAAAUCUGGUACUUUCAGUGCCCGAGUUGUAAUUUGUAGAAUUUGUCUUUGAUUAGGUCCUUGUCUAUGUUCCUUGGAACAGGACGUCAUAGAGGGUGAGAAUCCCGUUUGGCGAGGAUACCUUUUCUCUGUAAGACUUUUUCGAAGAGUCGAGUUGUUUGGGAAUGCAGCUCAAAGUGGGUGGUAAAUUCCAUCUAAAGCUAAAUAUUGGCGAGAGACCGAUAGCGAACAAGUACAGUGAUGGAAAGAUGAAAAGAACUUUGAAAAGAGAGUGAAAAAGUACGUGAAAUUGUUGAAAGGGAAGGGCAUUUGAUCAGACAUGGUGUUUUUUGCAUGCACUCGCCUCUCGUGGGCUUGGGCCUCUCAAAAAUUUCACUGGGCCAACAUCAAUUCUGGCAGUAGGAUAAAUCAUUAAGAAUGUAGCUACCUCGGUAGUGUUAUAGCUUAUUGGAAUACUGCUAGCUGGGAUUGAGGACUGCGCUUCGGCAAGGAUGUUGGCAUAAUGGUUAAAUGCCGCCCGUCUUGAAACACGGACC
This 574-nucleotide ribosomal RNA is filed under the name Hanseniaspora opuntiae. Its description in RNAcentral is "partial large subunit ribosomal RNA". It matches the Rfam family "Eukaryotic large subunit ribosomal RNA", at positions 79 to 667 of the family's 3401-position model. The record is from RNAcentral. Lineage: Eukaryota; Fungi; Ascomycota; Saccharomycetes; Saccharomycodales; Saccharomycodaceae.